Solenopsis invicta (red fire ant) is the source of this 1566-nucleotide RNA transcript. RefSeq lists it as uncharacterized. The transcript is spliced from 4 exons. NCBI's taxonomy places the organism in Eukaryota, Metazoa, Arthropoda, Insecta, Hymenoptera, Formicidae. The record is from RefSeq and is a predicted model, not a curated record.
UCGAUAUUUAAAAACUACAAGUGUUUAUUUUUUUUUGUCCUUAUUAACAAAAAAUUUCGUCGUAAAUAUUCAAAUUUAAUUAAAAUCAGCUAAAAAAAGAACGAAGAAUUAUACUUAGCUUAUGCAGCAUAAACCAAUAAGAGAAUUAUGCUCAAAUUUUACACAGAAACUCAUACAUAAUAAUAGAACAAUCUAUAAUCUAUAAAAUUAAAAAUUUUUAGUAAUGCUUUGAAAUGUAACGCAUUUAUUUCUUAAAAGAAAUUAUGAAUACUUUCACGCUGCAAAAUUUAUAGUUGUUUUUGUUUUAUCAUCUGCUGAAUACAUAUUUUUUUAUACAUAUAUCUUACAUUUUUAAGUAUGUGAUUGAACACGGAAAUUUAUUCAUUCUCAAUGGCAUAUUUUCAGUCCAGACUCCAAAUUUUCAAUUUACUUCCACUUAAUGUAACUAAGGCUUGCUGUCAAUUGAUAUCCAUGUACAUAUAUGUAAAUAGUGUGCGUUAAUUUAAUGUAUUCUUAGAAGAAUAAAUAUAACCCCUUCUUGUGGCAACAAUCGUGGCAUUACGCCAAGUCUGUAUGUCCAAAGAAAAAUUUUAACGAGGAUUGUAACAGAAGAUCGAUAUCAACCACAUCAAAGAAACUUGAGUAUUAUGGAUUAAAGAAAAAAGCACUGUCUUUAAAUUUCCAAAAGUCAUCAUCGACAAAGAAGAAGCUUGCAGUACAGAAGUUGACCUUUUUGGAAUAUGUGUUUAAUCCUAAGAAAUUCUCAAAGAAUCCUUCCACUUGUUUGCUGGCCAAUCGUGAAGAACAAAUACAUUAUAAAGAGGAUUCCUAUUAUCAAACGACACCUAAAGAUGUGUUAGUCUGUGCCAAUCUAAUUAAAUCGUCCAAAGACUUGAAAAGACUCAUAGAACCGCAGCCUAAGUCGCCACCAUCAUACAAACUGCCUAGAGCUGUUUUGCUGAGUAGAGCGAUGGUGGAAGAUUCCAACAAGAAGAAAAAUAUUUACGAAGGCAAGAAUUUAAAACCUAUAAUAUCGAAAAAACCAUAUGAAGGAAUGAAGCCAACUUCAAAUACCAAAAGGAUCAUCCAACAUAAAGAGAACAUUAGAACGGAAGACGUUAUAUCGUAUGAGAAAUCGACAUCUCGUUGGGAAUCGAUACCAAUAAAUGUAGCGAAAGUUCGCGAUACAGCGAAGAUACUGCGCCAGGCGAUGGCACAAAAAGAGCCACAAAUACACUCAAGAAUAGAACAACUCAAAAUUUUAGUAAACAAGGAAAUGACGAAGAAGUUCCAAUGUGCAUCACAAAUAGAUUCGAGACAGAACAACACCUUUUUCUGCUAAAUUCUUUCGUAUAAAAGCAUUAUAAAUGAGCAAUAUUUAUACUACUUAGUUUAAUUUUUUACACAUACACACUACAUAUAUAAAAUUUUUCUAUAUAAUACAUAUGUGGAUAAAAUCAAAGUAUAUCUGCACGCAUACAGGCAAAAUUUUAUAUGAAAAAUUAAUAUUAUAUAUAGUAUAUAGAUAUGUUGCAGGCAGUUAACACAAAGAAUAAAAAUAUGAAU